Molecule: ribosomal RNA, 484 nt
Filed under: uncultured bacterium
Lineage: Bacteria
Description: partial 16S ribosomal RNA
Rfam family: Bacterial small subunit ribosomal RNA
Source: RNAcentral
AUUGAACGCUGGCGGCAGGCCUAACACAUGCAAGUCGAGCGGAUGAAGGGAGCUUGCUCCUGGAUUCAGCGGCGGACGGGUGAGUAAUGCCUAGGAAUCUGCCUGGUAGUGGGGGAUAACGUCCGGAAACGGGCGCUAAUACCGCAUACGUCCUGAGGGAGAAAGUGGGGGAUCUUCGGACCUCACGCUAUCAGAUGAGCCAAGGUCGGAUUAGAUAGUUGGUGGGGUAAAGGCCUACCAAGGAGACGAUCCGUAACUGGUCUCGAGGGAUGAUCGGUCAAACUGGAAGGUAGACACGGACAACAAUACUAAGAGAAGCAGCAGUGUGGAAUAUUGGACAGUGGGCGGAAGCAUGAUCCAGCCAUGCCGCGUGUGAGAAAAAAGUCUUCGGAUUGUAAAGCACUUUAUGUUGGGAGAAAGGGCAGUAAGUUGAUACCUUGCUGUUUUGACGUUACCAACAAAAUAAGCACCGGCUAACUUCGUG